GAGCAUUCCACGGUGUUUCAGUUGCUUCCGUCGGUAAUGUAUUAUCUUGGUGACUAUGCACGUGUUCAGCUGUCCCUUCCUUUACCUGCUGUUCUGAAACCAGAUUUGAAGACAAUAAGGAUAUUUUGCUGGCAAUAGAGACCAGAUCUUGAGGGAGUGCUGAAUUCGUGGCGUUGAAGGUUUCCGAUGGGUUUUUGGUAGCCAAUGUUGAGGGGGCAAGAUGAAUCCAGCCUUGGUUGUUUUUCUUCACCACCGUAGAUAUUCUUUCGGUUGAGAUCAUGCCAUGAGAGAGCAGCUGUUUGGGAGAUGAGGGAAUCCAGAUCCAUCUUUGCGUCUAUUGUAUUGGUUUUCUUGUUUUUGGUUGAGAUGUAAAACAGAAAAGUAGCAACAGUAAGUGCAGGAAAAUGUAAAAACAGCCUCCUAGUUAGAGAGAGUCUGACUUCUCACUAGCCGGCUUUUUUAAGUCAAGAUUUUCAUCGUCAUCACUUACGCAAGAGGGAUUAAUACUCUAUGAAAACGAAAGAGUAUGUAUUCGGCGAUUCACACGUGAAGAUGGUCGGGAUCAUGUUCACAGGUAGGUGAGAAAUCUUGGAAUAAGUUUUGGGUCAAGUUAUAUAUUUAACUUUGACAAAAGGUAAA
Molecule: long non-coding RNA, 639 nt
Organism: Carya illinoinensis
Lineage: Eukaryota; Viridiplantae; Streptophyta; Magnoliopsida; Fagales; Juglandaceae
Exons: 3
Source: RefSeq, a predicted model, not a curated record